RNAcentral lists this ribosomal RNA (402 nucleotides) under uncultured bacterium. RNAcentral describes it as "bacterial SSU rRNA". It matches the Rfam family "Bacterial small subunit ribosomal RNA", at positions 355 to 773 of the family's 1533-position model. The record is from RNAcentral.
UAACGAAUCUUCCGCAAUGCGCGAAAGCGUGACGGAGCAAUGCCGCGUGCAGGAUGAAGCCCUUCGGGGUGUAAACUGCUGUCAGGGUUCAGCAACACAAUGAGCAGAUCCAAAGGAAGAGCCGACUAACUCUGUGCCAGCAGUCGCGGUAAUACAGAGGGCUCGAGCGUUGCGCGGAGUCACUGGGCUUAAAGCGUACGUAGGCGGGCGUGCAGGCAUCGUGUGAAAUCCCCCGGACUCAACCGGGGAACUGCUCGGUGAACCGCACGUCUUGAGGUCAGUAGGGGCGGUCGGAACGAUAGGUGGAGCGGUGAAAUGCGUAGAUAUCUAUCGGAACGCCGAAGGUGAAGACAGGCCGCUGGGCUGAUUCUGACGCUGAGUACGAAAGCGUGGGGAGCAAAC